CCAGGUGGGCAAAAGGAUGACCAGUACUGUCGUGACACCCACCCAACCACUGGAGCUUACGGUGGGGCCGGCUACACAGGAGGAGAGCACCAGGAGAAGAAGGGUAUAAUAGGCCAAGUUAAGGACAAGCUGCCAGGUGGGCAAAAGGAUGAUCAGUACUCUCAUGACACCCACAAAACUACUGGAGCUUACGGUGGGGCCGGAUACACAGGAGAUGAUACCCGGGAGAAGAAGGGUAUAAUAGGCCAAGUGAAGGACAAGCUGCCAGGUGGGCAAAAGGAUGACCAUUACUCUCAUGACACCCACCCAACAACUGGAGCUUACGGUGGGGCCGGGUACACAGGAGAUGAUACCCGGGAGAAGAAGGGUAUAAUAGACCAAGUAAAGGACAAGCUGCCGGGUGGGCAAAAGGAUGACCAUUACUCUCAUGAGACCCACCCAACCACUGGAGCUUACGGUGGGGCAGGGUACACAGGAGAUGAUACACGGGAGAAGAAGGGUGUAGUGGAGAAAGUGAAGGAGAAGCUGCCAGGUGGGCAAAAUGUGCACCCAACCACUGGACCUUACGGUGGGGGUGGGGCCGCGGGCAUAGGAGAGACCCGGGAGAGGAAGGGUGUAGGGGAGAAAGUGAAG
This 633-nucleotide long non-coding RNA is filed under the name Prunus persica (peach). RNAcentral describes it as "long non-coding RNA (PPER_LNC007441)". The record is from RNAcentral. Lineage: Eukaryota; Viridiplantae; Streptophyta; Magnoliopsida; Rosales; Rosaceae.